UGGCGCAGCUUACCAUGCAGUCGAGCGGUAACAGGGGGUGCUUGCACCCCGCUGACGAGCGGCGGACGGGUGAGUAAUGCAUAGGAAUCUGCCCAGUAGUGGGGGAUAGCCCGGGGAAACCCGGAUUAAUACCGCAUACGCCCUUUGGGGGAAAGCAGGGGAUCUUCGGACCUUGCGCUAUUGGAUGAGCCUAUGUCGGAUUAGCUAGUUGGUGGGGUAAAGGCCUACCAAGGCGACGAUCCGUAGCUGGUCUGAGAGGAUGAUCAGCCACAUCGGGACUGAGACACGGCCCGAACUCCUACGGGAGGCAGCAGUGGGGAAUAUUGGACAAUGGGGGCAACCCUGAUCCAGCCAUGCCGCGUGUGUGAAGAAGGCUUUCGGGUUGUAAAGCACUUUCAGUGAGGAGGAAAACCUUCUGGUUAAUACCCAUGAGGCUUGACGUUACUCACAGAAGAAGCACCGGCUAACUCCGUGCCAGCAGCCGCGGUAAUACGGAGGGUGCAAGCGUUAAUCGGAAUUACUGGGCGUAAAGCGCGCGUAGGUGGUUUGAUAAGCGAGAUGUGAAAGCCCCGGGCUUAACCUGGGAACGGCAUUUC
This 596-nucleotide ribosomal RNA is filed under the name Marinobacter sp. Its description in RNAcentral is "bacterial SSU rRNA". It matches the Rfam family "Bacterial small subunit ribosomal RNA", at positions 40 to 629 of the family's 1533-position model. Lineage: Bacteria; Pseudomonadati; Pseudomonadota; Gammaproteobacteria; Pseudomonadales; Marinobacteraceae. The record is from RNAcentral.